Molecule: ribosomal RNA, 1373 nt
Filed under: Ralstonia sp. PNP11
Lineage: Bacteria; Pseudomonadati; Pseudomonadota; Betaproteobacteria; Burkholderiales; Burkholderiaceae
Description: bacterial SSU rRNA
Rfam family: Bacterial small subunit ribosomal RNA
Source: RNAcentral
GCGCGGGGGCAACCCUGGUGGCGAGUGGCGAACGGGUGAGUAAUACAUCGGAACGUGCCCUGUAGUGGGGGAUAACUAGUCGAAAGAUUAGCUAAUACCGCAUACGACCUGAGGGUGAAAGCGGGGGACCGCAAGGCCUCGCGCUACAGGAGCGGCCGAUGUCUGAUUAGCUAGUUGGUGGGGUAAAAGCCUACCAGGGCGACGAUCAGUAGCUGGUCUGAGAGGACGAUCAGCCACACUGGGACUGAGACACGGCCCAGACUCAUACGGGAGGCAGCAGUGGGGAAUUUUGGACAAUGGGGGCAACCCUGAUCCAGCAAUGCCGCGUGUGUGAAGAAGGCCUUCGGGUUGUAAAGCACUUUUGUCCGGAAAGAAAUGGCUCUGGUUAAUACCCGGGGUCGAUGACGGUACCGGAAGAAUAAGCACCGGCUAACUACGUGCCAGCAGCCGCGGUAAUACGUAGGGUGCGAGCGUUAAUCGGAAUUACUGGGCGUAAAGCGUGCGCAGGCGGUUUUGUAAGACAGGCGUGAAAUCCCCGAGCUCAACUUGGGAAUGGCGCUUGUGACUGCAAGGCUAGAGUAUGUCAGAGGGGGGUAGAAUUCCACGUGUAGCAGUGAAAUGCGUAGAGAUGUGGAGGAAUACCGAUGGCGAAGGCAGCCCCCUGGGACGUCACUGACGCUCAUGCACGAAAGCGUGGGGAGCAAACAGGAUUAGAUACCCUGGUAGUCCACGCCCUAAACGAUGUCAACUAGUUGUUGGGGAUUCAUUUCUUCAGUAACGUAGCUAACGCGUGAAGUUGACCGCCUGGGGAGUACGGUCGCAAGAUUAAAACUCAAAGGAAUUGACGGGGACCCGCACAAGCGGUGGAUGAUGUGGAUUAAUUCGAUGCAACGCGAAAAACCUUACCUACCCUUGACAUGCCACUAACGAAGCAGAGAUGCAUUAGGUGCCCGAAAGGGAAAGUGGACACAGGUGCUGCAUGGCUGUCGUCAGCUCGUGUCGUGAGAUGUUGGGUUAAGUCCCGCAACGAGCGCAACCCUUGUCUCUAGUUGCUACGAAAGGGCACUCUAGAGAGACUGCCGGUGACAAACCGGAGGAAGGUGGGGAUGACGUCAAGUCCUCAUGGCCCUUAUGGGUAGGGCUUCACACGUCAUACAAUGGUGCGUACAGAGGGUUGCCAACCCGCGAGGGGGAGCUAAUCCCAGAAAACGCAUCGUAGUCCGGAUCGUAGUCUGCAACUCGACUACGUGAAGCUGGAAUCGCUAGUAAUCGCGGAUCAGCAUGCCGCGGUGAAUACGUUCCCGGGUCUUGUACACACCGCCCGUCACACCAUGGGAGUGGGUUUUGCCAGAAGUAGUUAGCCUAACCGCAAG